CUCAGGUUUGCAAGAUCUCACACGGUGAAGUAUGGAGUAGAAAUAACUCUGCAGCGACUAGGUGUCAGCGGCGGGGCCCUCUCCGUCGCCGCCUUUGGCAGCACAAAGUCCCGGAUCAACGGUGGGACCCUCAUCAGUUUGGCGUUGGUACUAGAGUUCAAGCUGGGUGGAGUGAAGAUGGAGAAUGUGUAUAAAGCAACAGUUGGAGCUACAGCACAAAAUGGAUACUAUGUAGCCUAUGAUGGCUGGGGAAACAGGGAAGAGUGUGCGGCAGUGCGUGGGCGCGCAGGCGAGCGAAUGCGUGGUGCCGCAGGAGUUGAAGUUGCAGUCCUUCAUCAGAUAGACUUCUUGCACAGUGAGAGAUCUGCAGCAUGCUGAUGGUAGUCCAUCAUUUCUGGAGAAGGCCCUGAAGUUCAUUGAAGAUCAUGGGGUAAAGGUAGAGGGCAUCCUGCGUCAGUCUGCUGAUGUUGAAGAAGUCAAACGCAGAAUUCAGGAUUAUGAAAAGGGGAAAAACGAGUUCUCUCCAGAAGAGGAUGCUCAUGUUAUUGGUGACUGUAUUAAGGUAUAUAUCUGGCAAGUGUUGGUUACAAUCUCACUUAAUAGGAAUGCUCUUCACUGAUAUUUGUCUGGUUUUCCUUUAAUACAAUAUGUUCUUAGAGAGAUGCCGUCAUCUCCAGUUCCUGCAUCAUGUUGCACUGCCCUGGUUAAAGCAUACCGUAAGAUUAAUUUGAAACUUUGUUUAUGCAUUCAGUAGUUACCUUGUAUUAAUCAAUCAAACUGAUAUGUAAUACGAAUUGAUGACAUAAAGUAACUACCAUAAUUAAAUCAAUACAUGCCCUUA
Molecule: RNA transcript, 841 nt
Organism: Zea mays
Lineage: Eukaryota; Viridiplantae; Streptophyta; Magnoliopsida; Poales; Poaceae
Gene name: rho GTPase-activating protein REN1 pseudogene
Exons: 6
Source: RefSeq, marked validated